GACGAACGCUGGCGGCGUGCCUAAUACAUGCAAGUCGAACGCUGAAACUUGGUGCUUGCACCGAGCGGAUGAGUUGCGAACGGGUGAGUAACGCGUAGGUAACCUGCCUGGUAGCGGGGGAUAACUAUUGGAAACGAUAGCUAAUACCGCAUAAGAGUAGAUGUUGCAUGACAUUUGCUUAAAAGGUGCAAUUGCACCACUACCAGAUGGACCUGCGUUGUCUUAGCUAGUUGGUGGGGUAACGGCUCACCAAGGCGACGAUACAUAGCCGACCUGAGAGGGUGGUCGGCCAAACUGGGACUGAGACACGGCCCAGACUCCUAAGGGAGGCAGCAGUAGGGAAUCUUCGGGAAGGGACGGAAGUCUGACCGAGGAACGCCGCGGGGGGGAAGAAGGGUGUCGGAUCGUAAAGCUCGGUUGUAAGAGAAGAACGAGUGUGAGAGUGGAAAGUUCACACUGUGACGGUAGCUUACCAGAAAGGGACGGCUAACUACGUG
This 497-nucleotide ribosomal RNA is filed under the name uncultured bacterium. Its description in RNAcentral is "partial 16S ribosomal RNA". It matches the Rfam family "Bacterial small subunit ribosomal RNA", at positions 28 to 507 of the family's 1533-position model. The record is from RNAcentral.